RNAcentral lists this ribosomal RNA (497 nucleotides) under uncultured bacterium. Its description in RNAcentral is "partial 16S ribosomal RNA". It matches the Rfam family "Bacterial small subunit ribosomal RNA", at positions 28 to 507 of the family's 1533-position model. The record is from RNAcentral.
GAUGAACGCUGGCGGCGUGCCUAAUACAUGCAAGUCGAGCGAACAGACGAGGAGCUUGCUCCUUUGACGUUAGCGGCGGACGGGUGAGUAACACGUAGGUAACCUACCUAUAAGACUGGGAUAACUUCGGGAAACCGGAGCUAACACCGGAUAAUAUUUCGAACCGCAUGGUUCUAUAGUGAAAGAUGGCUUUGCUAUCACUUAUAGAUGGACCUGCGCCGUAUUAGCUAGUUGGUAAGGUAACGGCUUACCAAGGCAACGAUACGUAGCCGACCUGAGAGGGUGAUCGGCCACACUGGAACUGAGACACGGUCCAGACUCCUACGGGAGGCAGCAGUAGGGAAUCUUGCGCAAUGGGCGAAAGCCUGACGGAGCAACGCCGCGUGAGUGAUGAAGGUCUUCGGAUCGUAAAACUCUGUUAUUAGGGAAGAACAAACGUGUAAGUAACUGUGCACGUCUUGACGGUACCUAAUCAGAAAGCCACGGCUAACUACGUG